Molecule: non-coding RNA, 119 nt
Organism: Oryza punctata
Lineage: Eukaryota; Viridiplantae; Streptophyta; Magnoliopsida; Poales; Poaceae
Source: Rfam
GGAUGCGAUCAUACCAGCACUAAAGCACCGGAUCCCAUUAGAACUCCGAAGUUAAGCGUGCUUGGGCGAGAGUAGUACUAGGAUGGUUGACCUCGUGGGAUGUCCUUGUGUUGCAUCCC